RNAcentral lists this transfer RNA (73 nucleotides) under Mesocricetus auratus (golden hamster). It matches the Rfam family "tRNA". Rfam says of the family: Transfer RNA (tRNA) molecules are approximately 80 nucleotides in length. The record is from Rfam by way of RNAcentral. Lineage: Eukaryota; Metazoa; Chordata; Mammalia; Rodentia; Cricetidae.
UGGGGUUUGGCUCAGUGUGUAGAGUACUUGCCUGGCAUGCAGGAGGCCCUGGAUUCUAUCCUCAGAACAACAU